GAUGAAGAACGCAGCGAAAUGCGAUAAGUAAUGUGAAUUGCAGAAUUCAGUGAAUCAUCGAAUCUUUGAACGCACAUUGCGCCCGCCAGUAUUCUGGCGGGCAUGCCUGUUCGAGCGUCAUUACAACCAUCAGGCCCCCGGGCCUGGCGUUGGGGAUCGGCGGAAGCCCCCUGCGGGCACAACGCCGUCCCCCAAAUACAGUGGCGGUCCCGCCGCAGCUUCCAUUGCGUAGUAGCUAACACCUCGCAACUGGAGAGCGGCGCGGCCACGCCGUAAAACACCCAACUUCUGAAUGUUGACCUCGAAUCAGGUAGGAAUACCCGCUGAACUUAAGCAUAUCAAUAAGCGGAGGA
Molecule: unclassified non-coding RNA, 353 nt
Filed under: soil metagenome
Description: partial contains 5.8S ribosomal RNA, internal transcribed spacer 2, and large subunit ribosomal RNA
Rfam family: 5.8S ribosomal RNA (bases 1-120)
Source: RNAcentral